Molecule: non-coding RNA, 45 nt
Organism: Caenorhabditis remanei
Lineage: Eukaryota; Metazoa; Nematoda; Chromadorea; Rhabditida; Rhabditidae
Source: Rfam
UCAACGGUCCUCUUUAGGACCACUAAUACAAAUCCAAUAAUUGAG